RNAcentral lists this ribosomal RNA (497 nucleotides) under uncultured bacterium. RNAcentral's name for it is "partial 16S ribosomal RNA". It matches the Rfam family "Bacterial small subunit ribosomal RNA", at positions 28 to 507 of the family's 1533-position model. The record is from RNAcentral.
GAUGAACGCUGGCGGCGUGCCUAAUACAUGCAAGUCGAACGAACACACGAGGAGCUUGCUGCUGCGAAGUGACGGGCGGACGGGUGAGUCAUACGUAGGUGACCUGCCUAUGAGACUGGGAUAGCUUCGGGCGACCGGAGCUCACACCGGAUAAUAGUGUGAACACCAUGGUUCGAAAGUGCAAGCUGGCUUUGCUAUCACUUAUAGGUGGACCGGCGCCGUAUUAGCUAGUUGGUAAGGUAAAGGCUUACCAAGGCAACGAUCCGUAGCCGACCUGAGAGGAUGACCAGCCACACUGGGACUGAGACACGGCCCAGACUCCUACGGGAGGCAGCAGUGGGGAAUUUUGCGCAAUGGGGGAAAGCCUGAUCGAGCCACGCCGCGUGCGGGAUGAAGGCCUUCGGGUUGUAAACCGCUUUUGUUCGGGAAGAAGUACCCUGUACUUAACUGGGGAGGUGUUGACGGUACCGGAAGAAUAAGCCCCGGCUAACUACGUG